GAUGAACGCUGGCGGCAUGCCUAAUACAUGCAAGUCGAACGAGAGACCUUCGGGUCUCUAGUGGCGAACGGGUGAGUAACACGUAGGGAACCUGCCCGCGCACCGGGAAUACGCUCUGGAAACGGAGAACAAAUCCCGAUGUACAGGAAGGAGGCAUCUUCUUUCUGUGAAACAUCCUCCAGGGGAUGGGGCGCGGAUGGACCUGCGGUGCAUUAGUUGGUUGGCGGGGUAAAGGCCCACCAAGACGAUGAUGCAUAGCCGGCCUGAGAGGGCGGACGGCCACAUUGGGACUGAGACACGGCCCAG
This 306-nucleotide ribosomal RNA is filed under the name uncultured bacterium. RNAcentral's name for it is "bacterial SSU rRNA". It matches the Rfam family "Bacterial small subunit ribosomal RNA", at positions 28 to 334 of the family's 1533-position model. The record is from RNAcentral.